UAACGGUAAAAGGGUCUUUUGCAUCUUUUUCAAUCAUAGUAUAUCAUUUCCAAACUUGGGCAUCAAGAUUUAUCGUCUUGAAAAUUUUCUCUCUCAACAUUUCAUGUCUCCUCCUUCUCUCUACUUUGGUCGAACCCCUCCAUGGUUCUUCUCUGAAUGUUUUCACAAAAAUUCACAUAAAUAUCUCUCAUUUUCUCAUCUUUACUCUCCUCUAAAAAGCCACCAAAUUCCUUUGUUGUUUUUAGAAGCUAGAAGAAGAAACUAAAGAGGUAAUCUUCUAAACUAUUGUUUUGUUAGUUUGUUAUUUUUAGUUAGUUUUGUUUCUUUAAGUUUUCAACUUGUUGGAUAGUGUAAAUCUGAUUGUGGGGUAUUUUGGAGUGUAAAUGUGAACGUGGAAAGCUUGAACAAGUGUUUGAGGAGCUAGAACUAAAGCCAAAAUAUCUUAGAGUCUACAACAGCUCUAUUUCAUCAUUAUCUUCAUCAAACAUCAAGAUGAGCUUUGGGAAUAUGCUAUUGAAUCUCUCAAGUUUUCUCUCCAUUUUCAACCCCAAGAACAACAAGGAGACUUGGAAGCUAAGUCUUGGACUUGGAAGGGUUUUCCCUAAGUUGGUUAGGGUUUUUAAAAGGUUUUGACGGAGCCAAAGCUAGUAGGAAGAUCCACACCUAUUAAGCAAGAACACCAAAGAGGUAAGUGCAAGGGCAAGGUAGAGAAGUGAGCGCUGGAGUCUAUCUCACAAAUGUACAUGGGCACCGACCUUUUGGGAAGCCGUUUGUAUUUUUGGAAAUGUUGUGUAAUUUUCCUAAACUAGGCUCACUCUAUUCUUUAUAUAAUAUGUUGCAACUAAAUGUUAAGUAUGGCCAUACGACUUUUUAAAAAGUUUUUUUUAUAUGGGUUUUUGAGACAUUUUGUUAAAUGAAAUCAUUUAUAUUUUUGCUUUA
This is a long non-coding RNA of Humulus lupulus (European hop), 939 nucleotides long. RefSeq lists it as uncharacterized. Lineage: Eukaryota; Viridiplantae; Streptophyta; Magnoliopsida; Rosales; Cannabaceae. The transcript is spliced from 5 exons. The record is from RefSeq and is a predicted model, not a curated record.